UCUGAGCACACCCGCACAGGUGAAGUAACGUUAGUUAGCUAGUUAUGCUAACUAACCUAAAAACACACAGGAGAAAACGGCGGGAAAUUAGUUAGUUAACCUGGUUACUAGCCUGUCAGCUAACCAUAAGCAGAAAUAACACCGAAUUAAGAAGUUUUAGUUCAAUAAAACCUUCCCCAAACUGAGUUUUAAAGCAAAUCUGAGCUACAGGUGUGCUGAAAUUCUGCUGAAAGGAAGGAAGAUAUGAAGAUAAUAAAUCCAGUAUCCCAGCAACCCUCCUCCCACCUAACUCCAGCGAAAAGGUAUACAGAGUGUUUGCAGAGUGGGCCUGACGGUCCAGAACACAUCCCCCCACUGAAAGCCUGACCGGGUCCAGUUUCAGGGAUUAGCCAGCAGACUUCGUUUGAGGGAGGGAUCUGUACCUACUGUACCGUCUGCAGCGAGUCAGCAGAUGAGGAAGUAAAUGAUGGCUGGACGCUGGUCCCCAUCUGCCGGCUGGACCCGGUCCAGAGCCCUAUCGCCCGAUCCCGAGUCCAGGAGUCCUGCAGGAGGAAGAGGAGGAGGAUGAAGAGAGGGACAAAAAGCGAAGGAACGCGAACAGCAGGAACAUCACUGCAGCCGGCCAGCCAGAGAGUGAGAGAGGAGAGAGACGAGCGAGCUGAGAGGAGGAGGAGAGAGAGAGAGAGAGAGAGAGAGAGAGAGACGGGGAGAGAGAGAGACAGAUGACUUCCAUAGAUUAAAGAAGUAAGAAUGGGCUGAAUGAGUGAAAGCCUGGAUGGAAAGCAAGAAAUCAUAAAGACAAUGAAAAACAAUUCAGUGAAUAUGAAAUAUAUUAUAAAUGUAUACACUCUUGAUCAUAUAAUUCACUCUUUAUUUGUAUAAUAUAAUCUGUACAGACUGUUGUUCUGUACUUUAAUAUUCUC
Molecule: RNA transcript, 923 nt
Organism: Astyanax mexicanus (Mexican tetra)
Lineage: Eukaryota; Metazoa; Chordata; Actinopteri; Characiformes; Acestrorhamphidae
Gene name: RNA-binding protein 25-like
Exons: 5
Source: RefSeq, a predicted model, not a curated record